Long non-coding RNA from Acanthochromis polyacanthus (spiny chromis), 2892 nucleotides. RefSeq lists it as uncharacterized. The transcript has 3 exons. Lineage: Eukaryota; Metazoa; Chordata; Actinopteri; Pomacentridae. The record is from RefSeq and is a predicted model, not a curated record.
UGUCUCAAUUCUCCCGUUUUAAAGAUGUAAAUGGGACAUCAUAUUAAAAUAUGAUGCAAGAGCAUUUCACUUUUGUCUGUUUCAUCAUCAAAACAAGAAAAUGAGUUGCCAUGACAAGUCCAUCCGAUGUUGAAACCUGAUAUCAUUGGCAUGAAUUAGUAAGGUGGAUGACCGUCUGUUUUGGAGCUGCACUCUGAUAAGGUGCUUUUCAAAUUAGAUAUUGCAAAAGAACAAUCACCACCUUUCUGCCAUGGAGAGCUGUAGUGUGACCCUAUGAGUCACGACUUGCCAUACUACUUGGAAAAGCUCCAAGUGUGCAAGAAGUCAGCUUCCCACCGAACAAUGGACGUCUAGAUUUUUUUAGACCUAAUUUCAACCGUCGAGAUGCCGUCUGUUUUUACACGGAAUUUAGACGUUGUAGUUUAAUUAUUCUAUAACUAUUUAUUUAAAAAAAACAACUGUAAGGUGCAUAGCUAAUAUCCAAAUACUGAAAUAAAAUAAUUAUGAUAGCCGUUGAGCGACAUUCAGUAUAGUAUAAAUAUAUCCGACAUUUAGAUGUUUAAAUCUCUACCGCAUUUCAACGUCUACAUGUACACCGAAUCUAGACAACUGAAUUUAAUCCAUCACUCAAACGUUGUUAAUUUAAAACAAUAGCUGCAUGUUGCAUAACUGUUGUCCAAAUACAGAACUAAUAUAAUUCUGAUGGCCCUUGAGCGAUAUUCAGUAUAGUAUAAAUUUAGCCGAGAUUUAUACGUUUAAAUAUCUACCACAUUUCAACGUCUAGAUAUACACCGAAUCUAGACAACUGAAUUCAAUCCAUCAUUCAAAAGUAGUUAAUUUAAAAAACAACUCUAAGGUGCAUAGCUAAUCUCCAAAUGCUGAACUAAUAUAAUUCUGAUAGCCGUUGAGCGAUAUUCAGUAUAGUAUAAAUUUAGCCGAGAUUUAUACGUUUAAAUAUCUACCGCAUUUCAACGUCUAGAUACAGACAGAAUCUAGACAACUGAAUUAAAUCCAUCAUUCAAAAGUUUUUUAUUUAAAACAAUAACUGUAUGUUGCAGAACUGAACUUCAACUACUGAACUGAUAUAACUAUGAUAGCCGUUGAGCAAUAUACAGUCCAGUCUAAAUAUAUCAGAGAUUUAGACGUCUAAAUCUCUACUGCGUUUCAACAUUUAGACAUAGACCGAAUAUAGACAACAGAAUUUUAUCCAUCAUUUAAUAUUUUUUUAUUUAAAACAAUAAAUGCAUGUUGCACAACUGAUCUCCAAACACUGAACUAAACCAUUUAUGAUAGCCGUUAAGCGAUAUCGCUUAUAGACCGAAUUUCAACAAAUUAAUUUUAUCCAAAGUUAUUUAUUUAAAACAAUAACUGUUGCAGAACUGAUCUCUUGAUAUUGGACUAAAAUCAUUUUAUUAGACAUAAUCGCUAUAAACUAGAGUCUAUAUGUAGACGUCUACUAUUCCGCUUUUCAACGCCGACACCAUUCAGAGGUAUGUAUUUUAAAUCUUCGGAAAAUAAAAGAAACAAUAAUCUAAUGGAAUAUAGCCAGCUCUUUCCAUGUACAGCGCCAUCUUGGCUUCUAUGUUGACAAAGAUGCAGGUGAAGCACGCUCACGUGACGCACCGUGCAACCACUUCCUGGCAAAGGAAAAAGUUUCGAAGAAGUAAAUUUGACCUCAUUCGGCGGUUAAGAGGUGGGUGCUGAAGCAGAUACUAUAGAAAAAUGUUUAAUUUUGCAAUGUUUGGUCCUUAUACAAUCAUGCUUCAGUUUAGCAUUUGCAUGCAUCGUGUGUCGGUUGAUAGCAUGAGGGCCAGCUAGCGAGUUGCUAGUUUAGCCAGUGUGGGCCAUCGACAAGUGGGGAACUUCGUUUGUUUUCAACCUGGUGUCUGUUUUCAUAUGUCAUUUCAUACAUGUGAGUGACGGAGAAAGGAUUUUUCAACAUAGCUCCAGUAUUUAGCCAGGCAGGCAGCUUCGCAGCUCAGCUAGCGAAAAGAAUGGGGCAACUUGCCCCCCACGUCAAAGUCCGCCCUAACGUGCUUUUAAUCCCCCACAUUGACCGGCUCGGAUAGUCUGAACGAGUGUCUCACAACACUGAGAGUGAACGAAAACCUGGAGUUGAGCUCAAUUUUGUUGUAUGUGUGAAGUUAAGCUGCUGUUUUUUUGUAGACUGAUGUCAGGGAAUGUUUGACUUUGCAUCCUAUCAUAAAUGGAAGCCAUUGUGUGUAUAGCUUUGAGGUAAAGAUUAAUGAGCUGUUCAUUCUUUUUUCAUGGUUUCUGCAGACUAGAGUUGUCUAGCUUUUUGUUUUUGUUUUUCCUUUUUCUUCAACUUUUCUCUACAAAUGUUCAUUAUUUAUGUUAGCAUGUGCUGUCCUUGCUUUGUACAAAGUCCUGAUGAUUAAGAGGAUCACCUACAGGUCAGAUUUGUAAAGCAAUUUUAUUUUUGUAGGCCAAGAGCAACCCAACUCUCCAGAUUUGUUUGAACAACCGGAAACAUCAGUAGAUCUUUCAAAAUCAUGGCAGCCUUCACCCGACAGUUCAUUGACUCAGAUAUCCUGCGAUUCACCAUCCAGUCCAAAAACUAUUUUGACCCCCUCUGCAUUCCUCUACACCGGGUAUAAUUUAUAUGUUUAUUAUAUUCAAAUUAUUCCCCUGGUUAUUAGAUCAUUUAAAUUUAAUGACUGUCUAAUGGCCAAAAAUAACAUUGUUCUCCACUAAGUAUUAAAACCUGUGUUGGUGAAACAAUGAUUAGCAGCAGGAGAGGACAAAAUACAUAAAUGCAAUGCUGAAUAUAAUAAUUUUUGUAUGCGUCUCUCUCCUAGCAGAGCUCCGAACACCCCAGUAGUAUCCUGGAGGGCCUGUGAUAGACGGCGCAGUCCUGUGAUGACCCGUGCC